This 786-nucleotide ribosomal RNA is filed under the name uncultured Actinoplanes sp. Its description in RNAcentral is "bacterial SSU rRNA". It matches the Rfam family "Bacterial small subunit ribosomal RNA", at positions 61 to 861 of the family's 1533-position model. Lineage: Bacteria; Bacillati; Actinomycetota; Actinomycetes; Micromonosporales; Micromonosporaceae. The record is from RNAcentral.
GUCGAGCGGAAAGGCCCUUCGGGGUACUCGAGCGGCGAACGGGUGAGUAACACGUGAGUAACCUGCCCCAGACUUUGGGAUAACCCUCGGAAACGGGGGCUAAUACCGGAUAUGACUGCCGGCCGCAUGGUUGGUGGUGGAAAGUUUUUCGGUUUGGGAUGGACUCGCGGCCUAUCAGCUUGUUGGUGGGGUAAUGGCCUACCAAGGCGACGACGGGUAGCCGGCCUGAGAGGGCGACCGGCCACACUGGGACUGAGACACGGCCCAGACUCCUACGGGAGGCAGCAGUGGGGAAUAUUGCACAAUGGGCGGAAGCCUGAUGCAGCGACGCCGCGUGAGGGAUGACGGCCUUCGGGUUGUAAACCUCUUUCAGCAGGGACGAAGCGUAAGUGACGGUACCUGCAGAAGAAGCGCCGGCCAACUACGUGCCAGCAGCCGCGGUAAGACGUAGGGCGCGAGCGUUGUCCGGAUUUAUUGGGCGUAAAGAGCUCGUAGGCGGCUUGUCGCGUCGACUGUGAAAACUUGGGGGCUCAACUCCAAGCUUGCAGUCGAUACGGGCAGGCUAGAGUUCGGUAGGGGGAGACUGGAAUUCCUGGUGUAGCGGUGAAAUGCGCAAAUAUCAGGAGGAACACCGGUGGCGAAGGCGGGUCUCUGGGCCGAUACUGACGCUGAGGAGCGAAAGCGUGGGGGAGCGAACAGGAAUUAAAUACCCUGGUAGUCCACGCUGUAACGUUGGGGCCCUAGGUGUGGGGGACCCUCUCGGUCUUCUGCGCGCACUAAGGCAUU